Molecule: ribosomal RNA, 402 nt
Filed under: uncultured Ruegeria sp.
Lineage: Bacteria; Pseudomonadati; Pseudomonadota; Alphaproteobacteria; Rhodobacterales; Roseobacteraceae
Description: bacterial SSU rRNA
Rfam family: Bacterial small subunit ribosomal RNA
Source: RNAcentral
AGUGGGGAAUCUUGGACAAUGGGGGCAACCCUGAUCCAGCCAUGCCGCGUGAGUGAUGAAGGCCCUAGGGUCGUAAAGCUCUUUCGCCUGUGAAGAUAAUGACGGUAGCAGGUAAAGAAACCCCGGCUAACUCCGUGCCAGCAGCCGCGGUAAUACGGAGGGGGUUAGCGUUGUUCGGAAUUACUGGGCGUAAAGCGCACGUAGGCGGAUCGGAAAGUUGGGGGUGAAAUCCCGGGGCUCAACCCCGGAACGGCCUCCAAAACUAUCGGUCUAGAGUUCGAGAGAGGUGAGUGGAAUUCCGAGUGUAGAGGUGAAAUUCGUAGAUAUUCGGAGGAACACCAGUGGCGAAGGCGGCUCACUGGCUCGAUACUGACGCUGAGGUGCGAAAGUGUGGGGAGCAAA